RNAcentral lists this ribosomal RNA (253 nucleotides) under uncultured bacterium. RNAcentral's name for it is "partial 16S ribosomal RNA". It matches the Rfam family "Bacterial small subunit ribosomal RNA", at positions 524 to 776 of the family's 1533-position model. The record is from RNAcentral.
UACGGGGGGGGCAAGCGUUGUUCGGAAUUACUGGGCGUAAAGGGCGCGUAGGCGGCCUGCUAAGUCGGACGUGAAAUCCCUCGGCUCAACCGAGGAACUGCGUCCGAUACUGGUGGGCUUGAAUCCGGGAGAGGGAUGUGGAAUUCCAGGUGUAGAGGUGAAAUUCGUAGAUAUUGGGAAGAACACCGGUGGCGAAGGCGGCGCUCUGGACCGAGACUGACGCUGAGGCGCGAAGGCCAGGGGAGCAAACGGG